RNAcentral lists this ribosomal RNA (1347 nucleotides) under metagenome. RNAcentral's name for it is "bacterial LSU rRNA". It matches the Rfam family "Bacterial large subunit ribosomal RNA", at positions 1566 to 2925 of the family's 2925-position model. The record is from RNAcentral.
AGUGCGAGAUGCUACGGCAUCGAAGCAGUCUAUGUCAUACUUCCAAGAAAAGCUUGCACUGUCAUAAACAAAGAAUGCCUGUACCAUAACCGACACAGGUGGGUAGGUAGAGUAUACUAAGGGGCGCGAGAUAACUCUCUCUAAGGAACUCGGCAAAAUGACUCCGUAACUUCGGGAGAAGGAGUGCCUUAUUUCUAAGGUUGCAAUAACAAGAUCCAAGCAACUGUUUACCAAAAACACAGGUCUCCGCUAAGUCGUAAGACGAUGUAUGGGGGCUGACGCCUGCCCAGUGCCAGAAGGUUAAAGAAGUUGGUUAGCAUUCGCGAAGCUGAUAACUGAAGCCCUGGUGAACGGCGGCCGUAACUAUAACGGUCCUAAGGUAGCGAAAUUCCUUGUCGGGUAAGUUCCGACCCGCACGAAAGGCGUAAUGAUUUGGAUACUGUCUCGGAGAGGGGCUCGGUGAAAUAGACUUGUCUGUGAAGAUGCGGACUACCUGCACCUGGACAGAAAGACCCUAUGAAGCUUUACUGUAACUUGAGAUUGAAAUUGGACUUUAUUUGCGCAGUAUAGGUGGGAGGCGUUGAGAGCAAUCUUGCGGGAUUGUUGGAGCCAUCAGUGAGAUACCACUCUUGUAAUGUUAGAUUUCUAACUUUGUAUCAUGAUCUGGUCAAAGAACAGUUUCAGGCGGGCAGUUUGACUGGGGCGGUCGCCUCCCAAACGGUAACGGAGGCGCACAAAGGUUUCCUCUGAACGGGUAGAAAUCGUAUCUAGAGUGUAAAGGCAUAAGGAAGCUUGACUGUGAGACCUACAAGUCGAGCAGGGACGAAAGUCGGUCUUAGUGAUCUGACGGUGCUGAGUGGAAAGGCCGUCACUCAACGGAUAAAAGUUACUCUAAGGAUAACAGGCUGAUCUCCCCCAAGAGUUCACAUCGACGGGGAGGUUUGGCACCUCGAUGUCGGCUCAUCGCAUCCUGGGGCGGUAGUACGUCCCAAGGGUUGGGCUGUUCGCCCAUGAAAGCGGUACGCGAGCUGGGUUCAGAACGUCGUGAGACAGUUCGGUCCAUAUCCGGUGUAGGCGUUAGAAUAUUGAGAGGAGCCUUCUCUAGUACGAGAGGACCGAGAAGGACAUACCUCUGGUGUACCAGUUAUCGUGCCAACGGUAAACGCUGGGUAGCUAUGUAUGGAGUGGAUAACCGCUGAAAGCAUCUAAGUGGGAAGCCCACCUCAAGAUAAGUAUUCUCAUCACGUAAGUGAAUAAGGUCACGGUAAGACUAACCGUUUAAUAGGCAUUAAGUGUAAAUCUAGUAAUAGGUGAGCUGAGAUGUACUAACAGACCGAAGACUUGAAC